AAAAAAGGCAAACUUGGGUUUCCGUGCCAACGUUUGACUGUCCGUCUUAUAUGAAAUUUUUUUAUAAUUAGUAUUUUCAUUGUAGUUAGAUGAUACAACAUGAUUAAUACUUUAUGUGUGACUUAUAUUUUUAAUUUUUUUCAUAAUUUUCUCAAAUAAGACGAACGGUCAAACGUUGGACACGGAAACCAGGGUUUGUCUUUUU
This is a non-coding RNA of Oryza glumipatula, 205 nucleotides long. NCBI's taxonomy places the organism in Eukaryota, Viridiplantae, Streptophyta, Magnoliopsida, Poales, Poaceae. The record is from Rfam.